This 245-nucleotide ribosomal RNA is filed under the name uncultured bacterium. RNAcentral describes it as "partial 16S ribosomal RNA". It matches the Rfam family "Bacterial small subunit ribosomal RNA", at positions 524 to 768 of the family's 1533-position model. The record is from RNAcentral.
UACGGAGGAUCCGAGCGUUAUCCGGAUUUAUUGGGCGUAAAGCGCGCGUAGGCGGCUUGUUAAGUCAGGUGUGAAAUCCGGGGGCUCAACCCGCGGCUUGCAUCUGAAACUGGCAGGCUUGAGUCUGGUAGAGGAAAGUGGAAUUCCUGGUGUAGCGGUGAAAUGCGCAGAUAUCAGGAGGAACACCAGUGGCGAAGGCGGCUUUCUGGGCCACGACUGACGCUGAGGCGCGAAAGCUAGGGGAG